GUAGGUGAACCUGCGGAAGGAUCAUUAUUGAAAUAAACCUGAUGGGUUGUUGCUGGUUCUCUAGGGAGCAUGUGCACGCCUUGUCAUCUUUAUAUCUCCACCUGUGCACCUUUUGUAGACCUUUCAGGUCUAUGUUGCUCCAUUUACCCCAAUGUAUGCUAAUAGAAUGUUGUGCCUAUAUAAUAUAUACAACUUUCAACAACGGAUCUCUUGGUUCUG
This 219-nucleotide unclassified non-coding RNA is filed under the name rhizosphere metagenome. RNAcentral's name for it is "partial ribosomal RNA internal transcribed spacer region". The record is from RNAcentral.